GCUCGGGUGGUGGAAUUGGUAGACACAUCAGACUUAAAAUCUGAAGACCGUCAGGUCGUGCGGGUUCGAUUCCCGCCCCGAGCACCA
This 87-nucleotide transfer RNA is filed under the name Marinobacter sp. LV10R510-11A. RNAcentral describes it as "tRNA_Leu_TAA". It matches the Rfam family "tRNA". Rfam says of the family: Transfer RNA (tRNA) molecules are approximately 80 nucleotides in length. Their secondary structure includes four short double-helical elements and three loops (D, anti-codon, and T loops). Further hydrogen bonds mediate the characteristic L-shaped molecular structure. tRNAs have two regions of fundamental functional importance: the anti-codon, which is responsible for specific mRNA codon recognition, and the 3' end, to which the tRNAs corresponding amino acid is attached (by aminoacyl-tRNA synthetases). tRNAs cope with the degeneracy of the genetic code in two manners: having more than one tRNA (with a specific anti-codon) for a particular amino acid; and 'wobble' base-pairing, i.e. permitting non-standard base-pairing at the 3rd anti-codon position. Lineage: Bacteria; Pseudomonadati; Pseudomonadota; Gammaproteobacteria; Pseudomonadales; Marinobacteraceae. The record is from RNAcentral.